AGAGUUUGAUCCUGGCUCAGGAUGAACGCUAGCUACAGGCUUAACACAUGCAAGUCGAGGGGCAUCAGGGUGUAGCAAUACACCGCUGGCGACCGGCGCACGGGUGAGUAACACGUAUCCAACCUGCCCUUUACUCGGGGAUAGCCUUUACGAAAGAAAGAUUAAUACCCGAUGGCAUAACAUGACCUCCUGGUUUGUUAUUAAAGAAUUUCGGUAGAGGAUGGGGAUGCGUUCCAUUAGGCAGUUGGCGGGGUAACGGCCCACCAAACCUUCGAUGGAUAGGGGUUCUGAGAGGAAGGUCCCCCACAUUGGAACUGAGACACGGUCCAAAAUCCUACGGGAGGCAGCA
RNAcentral lists this ribosomal RNA (349 nucleotides) under uncultured bacterium. RNAcentral's name for it is "bacterial SSU rRNA". It matches the Rfam family "Bacterial small subunit ribosomal RNA", at positions 8 to 353 of the family's 1533-position model. The record is from RNAcentral.